GGGCAAGGGUGACAGAGAGGGAGAUUAAACAGCCAGAGAGAAAGGGAGGAUCUUCUCUGUACCCUG
Molecule: microRNA precursor, 66 nt
Filed under: Chinchilla lanigera (long-tailed chinchilla)
Lineage: Eukaryota; Metazoa; Chordata; Mammalia; Rodentia; Chinchillidae
Description: miRNA (ENSCLAG00000021101.1)
Source: RNAcentral